CGAACGAAAGUUUUUAACUUUAGUGGCGGACGGGUGAGUAACACGUGAGAAUCUGCCCUUAGGAGGAGGAUAACAGCUGGAAACGGUUGCUAAUACUCCAUAUGCCGAGAGGUGAAAGGAUUUAUCCACCUAAGGAGGAGCUCGCGUCUGAUUAGCUAGUUGGUAGGGUAAUAGCCUACCAAGGCGACGAUCAGUAGCUGGUUUGAGAGGAUGAUCAGCCACACUGGGACUGAGACACGGCCCAGACUCC
This 250-nucleotide ribosomal RNA is filed under the name uncultured bacterium. RNAcentral's name for it is "partial 16S ribosomal RNA". It matches the Rfam family "Bacterial small subunit ribosomal RNA", at positions 63 to 339 of the family's 1533-position model. The record is from RNAcentral.